This 406-nucleotide ribosomal RNA is filed under the name uncultured bacterium. RNAcentral's name for it is "partial 16S ribosomal RNA". It matches the Rfam family "Bacterial small subunit ribosomal RNA", at positions 29 to 526 of the family's 1533-position model. The record is from RNAcentral.
AUUGAACGCUGGCGGCAGGCCUAAUACAUGAAAGUCGAACGAGUGGCGGACGGGGGAGUAAUGUCUGGGAAAUUGCUUGACGGCGGGGGAUAAGUAGUGGAAACGGUAGAUAAUACCGCAUACCCUCAGAUGUGCCCAGAUGGGGUUAGCUUGUUGGGGGGGUAACGGCUCACCAAGGCGACGAGCCCUAGCUGGGCUGAGAGGAUGACCGGCCACACUGGGACUGAGACACGGUCCAGACUCCUACGGGAGGCAGCAGUGGGGAAUAUUGGACAAUGGACGAAAGCCUGAUUGAGCCAUGCCGCGUGAGUGAAGAAGGCCUUCGGAUUGUAAAGUACUUUCAGCAGGGAAGCGUUACCCAAAGAAGAAGCAACGGCUAACUACGUGCCAGCCGCCGCGGUAAUAC